This 243-nucleotide ribosomal RNA is filed under the name uncultured bacterium. RNAcentral's name for it is "partial 16S ribosomal RNA". It matches the Rfam family "Bacterial small subunit ribosomal RNA", at positions 57 to 305 of the family's 1533-position model. The record is from RNAcentral.
GCAAGUCGAGCGUGAAAGCACUUCGGCGUGAGUAGAGCGGCGGACGGGUGAGUAACGCGUAGGAAUCUACCUAGUAGUGGGGGACAACAUGUGGAAACGCAUGCUAAUACCGCAUACGCCCUAUGGGGGAAAGCGUGGGACCUUCGGGCCACGUGCUAUUAGAUGAGCCUGCGUAAGAUUAGCUAGUUGGUGGGGUAAUGGCCUACCAAGGCGACGAUCUUUAGCUGGUUUUAGAGGAUGAUC